UCCGGUUUACCACCGGCAGUCCCUGCAGAGUCCUCGGCAUCACCCGUUAGCAACAGCAGGCAGGGGUUGCGCCCCUUGCGGGGACCGCCCAUCUCUGAGCGUAGCGCGGGAUGUCAAACCCUGGUAAGGUUCUGCGCGUUGCGUCGAAUUAAACCACAUGCUCCACCGCUUGUGCGGGCCCCCGUCAAUUCCUUUGAGUUUCAACCUUGCGGCCGUACUCCCCAGGCGGGACGCUUAAUGCGUUAGCUGCGCCACUGAUAAGCAUGCUUACCAACGGCUAGCAUCCAUCGUUUACGGCGUGGACUAC
RNAcentral lists this unclassified non-coding RNA (307 nucleotides) under uncultured Alphaproteobacteria bacterium. RNAcentral's name for it is "contains 16S-23S intergenic spacer region". Lineage: Bacteria; Pseudomonadati; Pseudomonadota; Alphaproteobacteria. The record is from RNAcentral.